ACAGACUCAAGGCAUUGUAAUGCUUCAGGACCACGUGAAAUCUUCUCAACACUCAACCUCAUAAUCCAUCCAACCCAGGGGACAUGAGGAUAAGGAUUGGAGACGCUGGAAACUGUCGUCACUGUGCAACUGUGUCAACAGGAAGAACUUGGCAAGGAAAAGGCUGUGUCCUCAGCUACCAGUGUCUGAAAUCAGGGUACUGUGCUAAGACACUAGCAGGCAGAUCCAAAAUAACCUCUUAAAGAAUGUCUUAUCUAACAGACGCUCUGUUCUGAAGCCUGGUGAGCUGCCUCCGCCAGCAUCAUUUGAAGGGCACCUCAUCUAGUGCUGGGAGUUUUUGGAUCCGGGACGAGUCCAGGCAUCCAGGCAAG
Pimephales promelas (fathead minnow) is the source of this 371-nucleotide long non-coding RNA. RefSeq lists it as uncharacterized. NCBI's taxonomy places the organism in Eukaryota, Metazoa, Chordata, Actinopteri, Cypriniformes, Leuciscidae. The record is from RefSeq and is a predicted model, not a curated record.